UUAAUAUAAUUUGAUUUCUCAAAUAGUGGUUAUCAGACAGCAUGACAUUUCAUCAACUAGUUUUGAUAAUGGGCCUCUGGCAGCCUUACCCCUCCAGCAGGAUUGCUCCCACUGAGAGAGCUGCCGAAGCAAAGGUAGAAGUUUCACAAUUGGUUAACUCUUUAACCCAAGCACAAGGCUCAGGCCAGAGGAGUAGUCCACCGGCUAAAAGCCAGGGCACUUUUAAUGAUCCUUCCGCAGGUUCACCUACGGAAA
RNAcentral lists this unclassified non-coding RNA (255 nucleotides) under uncultured fungus. RNAcentral describes it as "sequence contains ITS1". The record is from RNAcentral. Lineage: Eukaryota; Fungi.